UGAACGCUGGCGGCGUGCCUAAUACAUGCACGUCGAGCGACCAGACGAGGAGCUUGCUCCUCUGACGUUAGCGGCGGACGGGUGAGUAACACGUGGAUAACCUACCUAUAAGACUGGGAUAACUUCGGGAAACCGGAGCUAAUACCGGAUAAUAUAUUGAACCGCAUGGUUCAAUAGUGAAAGACGGUUUUGCUGUCACUUAUAGAUGGAUCCGCGCCGCAUUAGCUAGUUGGUAAGGUAACGGCUUACCAAGGCAACGAUGCGUAGCCGACCUGAGAGGGUGAUCGGCCACACUGGAACUGAGACACGGUCCAGACUCCUACGGGAGGCAGCAGUAGGGAAUCUUCCGCAAUGGGCGAAAGCCUGACGGAGCAACGCCGCGUGAGUGAUGAAGGUCUUCGGAUCGUAAAACUCUGUUUUUAGGGAAGAACAAAUGUGUAAGUAACUAUGCACGUCUUGACGGUACCUAAUCAGAAAGCCACGGCUAACUACGUG
RNAcentral lists this ribosomal RNA (495 nucleotides) under uncultured bacterium. RNAcentral describes it as "partial 16S ribosomal RNA". It matches the Rfam family "Bacterial small subunit ribosomal RNA", at positions 30 to 507 of the family's 1533-position model. The record is from RNAcentral.